CGCGGGCUGGUCGAGGCGCACGGCGGCCGGGUCAACGCCGGCAACAUCGCCGGCGGGUGCCGGUUCGAGGUGCGCCUGCCCGCGAC
RNAcentral lists this transfer RNA (86 nucleotides) under Actinoplanes cyaneus. Its description in RNAcentral is "tRNA-Leu". Lineage: Bacteria; Bacillati; Actinomycetota; Actinomycetes; Micromonosporales; Micromonosporaceae. The record is from RNAcentral.